RNAcentral lists this long non-coding RNA (4315 nucleotides) under Sus scrofa (pig). RNAcentral describes it as "lncRNA (ENSSSCG00060031481.1)". Lineage: Eukaryota; Metazoa; Chordata; Mammalia; Artiodactyla; Suidae. The record is from RNAcentral.
UUAUUAUUAAUUAUUUUUAUUCAAGUUUAUUCAACUGCUUCCCUUGACAGGAUGUACAUAAUUGAAGGGUCUUUGGAGGGAAAAAAGGCACAUUUCGCCUCCCCCCAACUGUGGGGUGCAGGACUGUGGGGCUGUGGGGCGGCCCCAGCCCCGAUGGUAUUUAGGAUACCGUAUUCCACCACGACAGUGCACUUGGCACGGCCCCUCGCAGAGAGGAAGCACUCUGCCGUCGGCAGUGGGACGGCAGGACCCUUGUGGGUCCUGGGGGGGGCGUCCUGGAGAGCCCUGAUGGGUCCUGUGGAUCUUGGGGAGCCCUGGUGUGUUCUGGUGAGUCCUGGAGGGUCCUGGGGUGUCCUACGGAGCCCUGGUGGGUCUUGGUGGGUCCUGGUGGGUCCAGAGGAAGAAGUAGGAAGCCCACAGGGUGAUAAGAACAGAACCGCAGCUUGCAGCCCCAGCCCAGAGCUUCUGCCUACAAGUGAGAGAUCUAGUUCAUUCCCCCAAACACCCCCCAUUACGGCAGAAGUUGACUUUUUAAGGCCCAAGCCCCCAAGGGUGAAGAGUGUAGAACAGGAGACAGGAGUGACAGCAAAUGGCCAAGAGCCUAGGAGUCCCCAGGGACAGCACCGUCUCGGCUUCCCGGGCCCCAGGCUUGCUUCCUGCCAUGUGUGUGAGGUCCAGCAGCGGAAGCAAGGAGGCCAGUGACCACAUCUCCGUCCUUUGUGGCCAGAGGUGGCUCAGGCCACCCGCGGGGACGUAGAGCCAGGCUCGCAUCCCGGCCAGUGCAGCCCUCUCUCUGAGGACACACUCGAGGGGGCGGCCAGACCGCUUCCUCCCGAGUCUCUGUGACCAGGUUGCUAAAAGUCAUGGCAGAGCUGGGCUCACGCGGCUCUCUCCCGACUCCAGAGAGAGGGGUGCUCGGGGGGUAGCCCUGAGGUCAUUUAUGGGGAGGACACAUUCCCCAGGGUGGGCACGAGGUCCCGCCAGACACACGUCCUUGGCGAAGCGGGGCGCUCAGAGCCUCCCCGCCUAAGGGAGGGGACUGCUCUUGCCUACUGCCCGUGCCCACGCCUGGCCCAGGGCUCAGCACACAGUAGGCGCUUGAGUGAGUUUCCUGGGGCGCUUAGACAACAGAAACGUAUUCUCUCACAGCCUGGAGGCCAGAAGUCCAAGACCGUGGCGUCGGCAGGGCUGCUUCCUCCUGGGGCCUCUGUCCCAGGCUGGCAGACGGCUGCCGUCUCCCCGCGUCCCCACACGGGGUCUUCCCUGUGUCGUGUCAACGUCCAAAUGCCCCCUCUGACAAGGACGCUGCUCAGAUGCGGGAUCAGGACCCACUCUAGCGACCUCAUCCUGACUUAGCGCUGUAAAGGCCCCUUCUCCAAGUACCGUCACUUCCUAAGAUUUUAGCCGUUAGGAUUUUCCACGUACGAUUUUUCCCAGGGGACACAGUGGGGCCUGUAGGAGCACUCGGGAGACGUCUGCCGAGUGGGAGACCACGGUAGUGAUGACAACCAGUCCCCCUCUAGCAGACGCUGGCUACACACGCGCCUGACCGCCAGGCUAAGCCCCUUGCCUACCUCACCGGUUGUCCUGGACGGAUGUCACCAACCCUCCCUCCAAAUGAGGAAACCAAAGCUCCGAGAGGAUCCAGAACUUACCAAAGGUCAAAUCCAGAAAAAUCCAGGCCUAUCUGACGCCAGUCCCAGGCUCUUAUCUACCAUGAUGGAAGGCUAACACUCCAGGACACUCCCAAAAAUAAUCCCCCCGCUGCUGGACCCACUUCCGCAGCCUAGCACGCUUCUGGGUCAUUUAUAUCCUCCAUGCCCCGUAACACAACCUUCUUGACAAUGGUGUGUGGUGGGCAUCUUUACUCCUUUUUUACAAAUGAGAUAAUUAGGGCCAGAGAGAUAAAAUCAGGUGACCAACUGCUUAAAAAAUAGAUGGAGGUGUUCCCGUCGUGGCUCAGUGGUUAACGAAUCUGACUAGAGACCAUGAGGUUGCAGGUUCGAUCCCUGGCCUUGCUCAGUGGGUUAAGGAUCUGGCAUUGCCGUGAGCUAUGGUGUAGGUCACAGACGCGGCUCGGAUCUGGUGUUGCUCCGGCUCUGGCGUAGGCCGGAGGCUAUAGCUCGGAUUCAACCCCUAGCCUGGGAACCUCCACAUGCCAUGGGAGGCAGCCCUAGAAAAAGGCAAGAAGACAAAAAAAAAAAAAAUAGAUGGAAGGAUAGAUGGGUGGAUGGAUGGAUGGAUGGAUGAGUGGGUGGGUGGAUGGAAGGAUAAUUGGAUUGAUAACUGGAUAGAUAGAUGGAUGGAUGGAUGGAUGAGUGGGUGGAUGGAUGGAUAAUUGGGUUGAUAACUGGAUAGAUGGAUUGUGGAUGGAUGGGUGGAUGGAUGGAUGGAUGCAUAGAUGGUCGGAUGAUAGCUAGAUGGCUGGAUAGGUGAAUGACGGAUGGGUGGAUACGUGCACCAUCGGGUCCAUGCACUAGGCCACAAAGAUGGCAGGGCAGGCCUACUGAGAUGAGGCUGAUGCUACCACUGACCAGCCUGCUAUUGUCCCUGGGUCAGUGCUCCUGGCUCAGCAGCAGGUCUUCUCAGACAGGGCAUCAUGGGCAGUGUUGCGAUGGUGACACAGCCAAAGCUCGAUCAUUUUGGUGAAACUUGCCAAUAUGCAGACGGGCACCACGCUGCAGUGUCAGCUCCCUGGCAGACAGCAGCUCUCACGCGGCCACGAGGGCGUCCAGCCCACAGGCAAACAAACGACAGCAAUAAGCCCUGUAUCUGCCCAGGAGGUGGGCGUGGCCACUUCCUACAGUUGAGUCACAGGUCAUUUUUGUAGAAGCAAAAGGCGUCUCUGCACCUGACUCGUCUGUUGAGUUGAAGGAGGCCUUCUGGAUGCUUCACACAGCGGAAAGGGUCCCAGCUGAGAUAAAUGUCCAUGAAACCGCGGGUUGUCAGUGUGAUGGUGGCAGGAACCAGAUGUCCCCCUCACGUCCCAGCCUCCAGAACCGGGCCUGGCCCACCACUUAUUUGCAGAGAAAACAAGCGAAGCAGCAGCCAGCUCCCUCCUCCACGCUCCCUGCCACCUGCCCACGUGAUCCUUUCUUGGGCGCUGCCACCGAGCGUGGCCGAGACUCUGCAGAGCGUGCACCCCAUGGUGGGCCUCCUUCAGUCCCAGGGUGACAGGGACAAUGAAGAGGAGGUCUUGCCGUCCAUCCGAGCGGUGCUCACGGCUGCCGAGGCCCCUGCGGGCGCUGCAUCUGAGAUCCGGCCUCUGGCCCCCAAGCGCGGGCUCAGGAGAAGCAGCCGGUUAGGAAUGUCGGGCUUGGCCGCUGAACAGGUGGGGUGGCCACUUGUUGGGGAUCUUGGCCGUGAUCUUGGCCACGCCAAUUGGGCCACAUUCCGGGUUCAAUAAGGAUUAGAAUAAAUGAAAGAGCACGUGACCGCAUCUGGCUUCAGACUCUUCCUGUACUUGCGCAGGUGACCAGGCUUCUCCAACUGGACCUUUCCUCCUGGCCUUUCACAGCUGUGGGAAGGGAAGGGAACCCCCUCCUCCAGGAGAACCCCCCCACCCACCCACAGCCCCUCCGUGUCGGUGGGGACAGCAGGGUGGCCCUCUCCAUGCACGCCUGGCCGCCACCCUCUUCCAACCAUGGCACGGACCACCAAAGACUGGGCAGAGCGUGGGGCUGGGGACAGGGGCAGGGACACAGGGGCGGGGGGCAGGGCAGGCUGCACGAAGCUCCGUUUCUCUAGAAACGUGGAACGUUCCCCGACCCCAGCGCUGACUCCCCACCUCCCAAAGGAGCCCCGCCAGACGCAGCGCGCACAGGAUCCCCGGGGAAUAGAGGCGUUAUUUGUGGCAUCUUGGACCGUCCCUUCACCAGCUUUCCCGAACUUGAACUAGGUGGGGACUUCCGAGAUCCCGGCUUUAAGGUCUGUCCCCUGCCUUUGCUCGCCGCUCCUCUCCGCCCUCAGCCCCGGCACAGGAGCCAGCACGUCACAGCCUGUGAAGGUAUGGAUGAAUGUCGCAGAAUUCACCACUGGAAUAUAAGACCUCAAGGGCAAAAACCGGGCAUUUUCCACCCCGAAUUCAUCACCGUUUGAUACAGUGCUUGAAGCUGGACCCGCCACAAGUGUUUAGAUUCUGAAUUGAAUCUAAAUGUAACUGACCCCCCACAUCAAGGAAGGCAGGAGACGUUACUCGCAACAGAACACAAGAAGGAAAAGCAUUUAGACAAAAUCUCGAGCGUCCCAGGCUAGGGAUGGAGAGGGCCGUCUGGCAGGGAGGCUUUCAUAAUUCAUAUCUCGAAAAGCCGGGCCC